This 492-nucleotide ribosomal RNA is filed under the name uncultured bacterium. RNAcentral's name for it is "partial 16S ribosomal RNA". It matches the Rfam family "Bacterial small subunit ribosomal RNA", at positions 29 to 507 of the family's 1533-position model. The record is from RNAcentral.
AGUGAACGCUGGCGGUAGGCCUAACACAUGCAAGUCGAACGGCAGCACAGUAAGAGCUUGCUCUUACGGGUGGCGAGUGGCGGACGGGUGAGGAAUACAUCGGAAUCUACUUUUUCGUGGGGGAUAACGUAGGGAAACUUACGCUAAUACCGCAUACGACCUGCGGGUGAAAGCAGGGGAUCUUCGGACCUUGCGCGAUUGAAUGAGCCGAUGUCGGAUUAGCUAGUUGGCGGGGUAAAGGCCCACCAAGGCGACGAUCCGUAGCUGGUCUGAGAGGAUGAUCAGCCACACGGGAACUGAGACACGGUCCAGACUCCUACGGGUGGCAGCAGUGGGGAAUAUUGGACAAUGGGCGCAAGCCUGAUCCAGCCAUACCGCGUGGGUGAAGAAGGCCUUCGGGUUGUAAAGCCCUUUUGUUGGGAAAGAAAAGCAGCAGGUUAAUACCCCGCUGUUCUGUCGGUACCCAAAGAAUAAGCACCGGCUAACUUCGUG